This 235-nucleotide ribosomal RNA is filed under the name uncultured bacterium. RNAcentral describes it as "partial 16S ribosomal RNA". It matches the Rfam family "Bacterial small subunit ribosomal RNA", at positions 84 to 334 of the family's 1533-position model. The record is from RNAcentral.
CCAUGAGUACAGUGGCGACCGGGUGAGUAACACGUGACUACCUACCCUUGAGUGGGGGAUAACCUCGGGAAACCGAGGCUAAUACCGCAUAAUAUCGAGAGAUCAAAGGAGAAAUCCGCCUUUGGAGGGGGUCGCGGCUGAUUAGCUAGUUGGUGAGGUAAUGGCCCACCAAGGCGAAGAUCGGUAUCCGGCCUGAGAGGGCGCACGGACACACUGGAACUGAAACACGGUCCAG